Molecule: ribosomal RNA, 493 nt
Filed under: uncultured bacterium
Lineage: Bacteria
Description: partial 16S ribosomal RNA
Rfam family: Bacterial small subunit ribosomal RNA
Source: RNAcentral
AUUGAACGCUGGCGGCAUGCUUUACACAUGCAAGUCGAACGGUAACAGGUUAAGCUGACGAGUGGCGAACGGGUGAGUAAUGCAUCGGAACGUGCCCGAUCGUGGGGGAUAACGCAGCGAAAGCUGCGCUAAUACCGCAUACGAUCUGAGGAUGAAAGCGGGGGACCGUAAGGCCUCGCGCGAUCGGAGCGGCCGAUGUCAGAUUAGGUAGUUGGUGGGGUAAAGGCCCACCAAGCCGACGAUCUGUAGCUGGUCUGAGAGGACGACCAGCCACACUGGAACUGAGACACGGUCCAGACUCCUACGGGGGGCAGCAGUGGGGAAUUUUGGACAAUGGGCGAAAGCCUGAUCCAGCCAUUCCGCGUGCAGGAUGAAGGCCCUCGGGUUGUAAACUGCUUUUGUACAGAACGAAAAGGUUUCUACUGAUACUAGGAGCUCAUGACGGUACUGUAAGAAUAAGCACCGGCUAACUACGUGCCAGCCGCCGCGGUAA